CGGGGUGAGUAACGCGUAGGUAACCUGCCCCAUACAGAGGGAUAGCCACUGGAAACGGUGAUUAAUACCUCAUGACACUUUCUCUUCGCAUGGAGGGAAGGUCAAAGAUUUAUCGGUAUGGGAUGGACCUGCGUCUGAUUAGCUUGUUGGUGGGGUAACGGCCUACCAAGGCGACGAUCAGUAGCCGACCUGAGAGGGUGAUCGGCCACAUUGGAACUGAGACACGGUCCAA
This 232-nucleotide ribosomal RNA is filed under the name uncultured bacterium. RNAcentral's name for it is "partial 16S ribosomal RNA". It matches the Rfam family "Bacterial small subunit ribosomal RNA", at positions 104 to 334 of the family's 1533-position model. The record is from RNAcentral.